CCUACGGGUGGCAGCAGUGAGGAAUAUUGGUCAAUGGGCGCAAGGCUGAACCAGCCAAGUCGCGUGAGGGAAGAAGGCCCAGAGGAUUGUAAACCUCUUUUGCCGGGGAGCAAAAGACGCCACGCGUGGCGUUCCGAGAGUACCCGAAGAAAAAGCAUCGGCUAACUCCGUGCCAGCAGCCGCGGUAAUACGGAGGAUGCGAGCGUUAUCCGGAUUUAUUGGGUUUAAAGGGUGCGCAGGCGGAAGAUUAAGUCAGCGGUAAAAUUGAGAGGCUCAACCUCGUCGAGCCGUUGAAACUGGUGUUCUUGAGUGAGUGAGAAGUAUGCGGAAUGCGUGGGGUAGCGGUGAAAUGCAUAGAUAUCGCGCAGAACUCCGAUUGCGAAGGCAGCAUACCGGCGCGCAACUGACGCUCAUGCACGAAAGUGUGGGUAUCGAACAGGAUUAGAUACCCUGGUAGUC
RNAcentral lists this ribosomal RNA (459 nucleotides) under uncultured bacterium. RNAcentral's name for it is "partial 16S ribosomal RNA". It matches the Rfam family "Bacterial small subunit ribosomal RNA", at positions 338 to 795 of the family's 1533-position model. The record is from RNAcentral.